This 450-nucleotide ribosomal RNA is filed under the name uncultured bacterium. RNAcentral's name for it is "partial 16S ribosomal RNA". It matches the Rfam family "Bacterial small subunit ribosomal RNA", at positions 354 to 796 of the family's 1533-position model. The record is from RNAcentral.
GUGGGGAAUCUUCCACAAUGGACGAAAGUCUGAUGGAGCAACGCCGCGUGAGUGAAGAAGGGUUUCGGCUCGUAAAGCUCUGUUGUCGGGGACGAAUGUGCAGUAUUUGAAUAAAGUACUGCAAUGACGGUACCUGACGAGGAAGCCACGGCUAACUACGUGCCAGCAGCCGCGGUAAUACGUAGGUGGCAAGCGUUGUCCGGAAUUAUUGGGCGUAAAGGGAGCGCAGGCGGGAAGGUAAGUAGGUCUUAAAAGUGCGGGGCUCAACCCCGUGAUGGGAUCGAAACUAUCUUUCUUGAGUGCAGGAGAGGAAAGUGGAAUUCCUAGUGUAGCGGUGAAAUGCGUAGAUAUUAGGAGGAACACCAGUGGCGAAGGCGACUUUCUGGACUGUAACUGACGCUGAGGCUCGAAAGCCAGGGGAGCGAACGGGAUUAGAUACCCUUGUAGUCC